This 416-nucleotide ribosomal RNA is filed under the name uncultured bacterium. RNAcentral describes it as "partial 16S ribosomal RNA". It matches the Rfam family "Bacterial small subunit ribosomal RNA", at positions 355 to 788 of the family's 1533-position model. The record is from RNAcentral.
UGGGGAAUCUUGCGCAAUGGGCGAAAGCCUGACGCAGCCAUGCCGCGUGAGUGAUGAAGGCCUUNGGGUUGUAAAACUCUUUCACCGGGGACGAUAAUGACGGUACCCGGAGAAGAAGCCCCGGCUAACUUCGUGCCAGCAGCCGCGGUAAUACGAAGGGGGCUAGCGUUGCUCGGAAUUACUGGGCGUAAAGGGCGCGUAGGCGGAUCAGCAAGUUGGGGGUGAAAGCCCGGGGCUCAACCUCGGAAUUGCCUUCAAAACUGCUGAUCUAGAGUACGGGAGAGGUGUGUGGAACUCCGAGUGUAGAGGUGAAAUUCGUAGAUAUUCGGAAGAACACCAGUGGCGAAGGCGACACACUGGCCCGUUACUGACGCUGAGGCGCGAAAGCGUGGGGAGCAAACAGGAUUAGAUACCCU